This 398-nucleotide ribosomal RNA is filed under the name uncultured bacterium. RNAcentral's name for it is "bacterial SSU rRNA". It matches the Rfam family "Bacterial small subunit ribosomal RNA", at positions 358 to 773 of the family's 1533-position model. The record is from RNAcentral.
GGAAUCUUGUACAAUGGGGGAAACCCUGAUGCAGCGACGCCGCGUGAGCGAUGAAGCCCUUCGGGGUGUAAAGCUCUUUCGACGGGAACGAUAAUGACGGUACCCGGAGAAGAAGCUGCGGCUAACUACGUGCCAGCAGCCGCGGUAAUACGUAGGCAGCAAGCGCUGUUCGGAGUUACUGGGCGUAAAGAGUGCGUAGGCGGUUGCGUAAGUUUGUUGUGAAAUCUCCCGGCUUAACUGGGAGGGUGCGGCGAAAACUGCGGGGCUGGAGUGUGGGAGAGGUAAGCGGAAUUCCUGGUGUAGCGGUGAAAUGCGUAGAUAUCAGGAGGAACACCGGCGGUGUAGACGGCUUACUGGACCAUGACUGACGCUGAGGCACGAAAGCGUGGGGAGCAAAC